AUCCUGCUCUGGCUCCCACCUCCGUUCAGGCGGAGCCACUCGGCGCCUGAAGCGAAGGGCCUCCGGUGCCUACGUGCAGUCGCCUCCUCCGCUUGAGCCUACGCCUUCUGCUCCAGUUGCUUUCCCAACCGAGCAGAAAAGCCGGGGGCGUGUUGCCGGGGCACUGGGAAGCCGGGAGCUUGGGCACUGCGCCUGAAGUCGCUGCUGCGCCUCCCCGCCCACGGGCGGUCGGGUCACGGUCCCUGAAGCCCCAGCCUGCCAGAUUGGAGCCCAUACUGACGUCAAGGGUAAAGGGGACCAGAGGCACCUGAGUCACCCAACCAGAAACCCAGCCUCUAGUGGGUGUUUCAUUGUGACACUGUGCGGCCUGAGGGGGAAGUACCCUCUCCUUUGAUUACCGUUGUGAAUCUAUGAAUAAACAGUUACACCCUGAGGGGUGCUAAGCUUUGGGAGUUACAGGGCUUGAGGUCAGCUCUAGAAGUCUUGAAAGUGGAGUUGUUGCAGGACACUGGGUUCCUUAGGAGCCGCCCCAGGCUUAAUGAUUGUCCAGAAGUUGGCUAUAAAGGGAGCCUGGGAGGCUGAUUGGAGGAGGGAGCAGAAAAAGCCUAACUCAGCAGGUCUGGGCACCGAGAGCCGAAAGCAGGAGCUGUGGUCAGAAGCUCGUGUCCCAGCCGGUAGGGCCUGCUCUCUCCCACCAUGGCGGCCCGAGGCUACGGCUAUUAUCGUGCUGUGAUCUUCUCAGCCAUGUUUGGAGGCUACAGCCUGUACUACUUCAACCGCAAGACCUUCUCCUUUGUCAUGCCGUCGCUGGUGGAAGAGAUCCGUCUGGACAAGGAUGACUUGGGGCUCAUCACCAGUAGCCAGUCAGCAGCCUAUGCCAUCAGCAAGUUUGUGAGUGGGGUGCUGUCUGACCAGAUGAGUGCUCGCUGGCUCUUCUCCUCUGGGCUGCUUCUUGUUGGCCUGGUCAAUGUCAUCUUUUCCUGGAGCUCCACAGUACCUGUCUUCGCUGCUCUCUGGUUCCUCAAUGGCCUGGCCCAGGGGCUGGGCUGGCCCCCGUGUGGCAAGAUCUUGCGGAAGUGGUUUGAGCCAUCUCAGUUUGGCACUUGGUGGGCCAUCCUAUCAACUAGCAUGAACCUGGCUGGAGGGCUGGGCCCCAUCCUGGCAACCAUCCUCGCCCAGAGCUAUAGCUGGCGUAGCACGCUGGCCCUGUCUGGGGCCUUGUGUGUGGUUGUCUCCUUCCUCUGUCUCCUGCUCAUCCACAAUGAACCUGCUGAUGUUGGACUCCGCAACCUGGACCCUAUCCCCUCCAAGGGCAAGAAGGGCUCCUCAAAGGAGGAGAGUACCUUACAGGAGCUGCUGCUGACCCCCUACCUGUGGGUGCUCUCCAUUGGCUACCUUGUGGUAUUUGGCGUAAAGACGUGCUGUACUGACUGGGGCCAGUUCUUCCUUAUCCAGGAGAAAGGACAGUCAGCCCUCGUGGGUAGCUCCUACAUGAGUGCCCUGGAGGUUGGGGGCCUUGUAGGCAGCAUCGCAGCUGGCUACUUGUCAGACCGGGCCAUGGCAAAGCUCUGGAUCCUGGUGUUGGGAGCUGUGUUUGGUUUCUCCUCUUAUGGUCCCAUUGCCUUGUUUGGAGUCAUAGCCAAUGAGAGUGCCCCUCCCAACCUGUGUGGCACCUCCCAUGCCAUUGUGGGACUCAUGGCCAAUGUGGGUGGCUUUCUGGCUGGGUUGCCCUUCAGCACCAUUGCCAAGCAUUACAGCUGGAGCACAGCCUUCUGGGUGGCUGAAGUGAUCUGUGCGGCCAGUACAGGUGCCUUCUUCCUCCUACGAAACAUCCGCACCAAGAUGGGCCGAGUGCCAAAGAAGGCUGAGUGAAGACCGUGCAAACUCUGGAGCGUCCUUUCUCACCUGUGUCAUGGGGGUUGGGAAAGGGAGGGAGGGGGCUGCUCUGGCAGCACCACCUUUGACUUUCUUUUUCUGCACCUUUUCCCUCACCCAGGUGGUGCUGGAAGUUAUCAGUGGCUAAUGAGGUCCCAGCUCCCCAUCCUAUCUCUAUUUAAAAAACAAGUUUUGGGAGUUCUCACUGUAGCACAGUGGGUUAGGAAUCCAAUUGCAGUGGCUUGGGUUGCUGCAGAGGUGUAGGUUCAACCCCUGGCCCAGCAUAGCAGGUUAAAGGACCCAGCAUUGCUACAGCUGCAGUUCGGAUUAGAUUCUUGACCCAGGAACUUCCAUAUGCCUCAGGUGCAGCCAUAAAAAUUAAAAAAAAAAAAAAGAGAGAGAGAGAGAGAGAGAGAAAACCUUUGUUUCUGGACUCCGUUAGUUCUUGCCUUCAAACUGGAAACCCCAGCACUCAGGGAGUCUCCUAUACCCUUCUCCCUCUCCUGGGCUCCGUCCUGUCCCCAUCACACACCAUCCCCACCUGAGGUGACGCUCCUGUAGCAGGACAGCAGUAGCCCGGGACUGCCCUGAGACCUCUCAGCAGGGGGCAGUUGCUAUUGCCAAUACCUUGGACUCCAGUGGAAGAGGGGAGGCCGUCACUCUUACCGAUACCUUGGGUACAGUAGGGGGUAAGGGUGGGAGGGUACAGAGACUUGUUAUAGAAAAUUAAAACUAGAUUUGAUAC
Molecule: long non-coding RNA, 2620 nt
Filed under: Sus scrofa (pig)
Lineage: Eukaryota; Metazoa; Chordata; Mammalia; Artiodactyla; Suidae
Description: lncRNA (ENSSSCG00025014715.1)
Source: RNAcentral